Molecule: ribosomal RNA, 540 nt
Filed under: Bifidobacterium animalis subsp. lactis
Lineage: Bacteria; Bacillati; Actinomycetota; Actinomycetes; Bifidobacteriales; Bifidobacteriaceae
Description: bacterial SSU rRNA
Rfam family: Bacterial small subunit ribosomal RNA
Source: RNAcentral
GGGUGGUAAUACCGGAUGCUCCGCUCCAUCGCAUGGUGGGGUGGGAAAUGCUUUUGCGGCAUGGGAUGGGGUCGCGUCCUAUCAGCUUGUUGGCGGGGUGAUGGCCCACCAAGGCGUUGACGGGUAGCCGGCCUGAGAGGGUGACCGGCCACAUUGGGACUGAGAUACGGCCCAGACUCCUACGGGAGGCAGCAGUGGGGAAUAUUGCACAAUGGGCGCAAGCCUGAUGCAGCGACGCCGCGUGCGGGAUGGAGGCCUUCGGGUUGUAAACCGCUUUUGUUCAAGGGCAAGGCACGGUUUCGGCCGUGUUGAGUGGAUUGUUCGAAUAAGCACCGGCUAACUACGUGCCAGCAGCCGCGGUAAUACGUAGGGUGCGAGCGUUAUCCGGAUUUAUUGGGCGUAAAGGGCUCGUAGGCGGUUCGUCGCGUCCGGUGUGAAAGUCCAUCGCCUAACGGUGGAUCUGCGCCGGGUACGGGCGGGCUGGAGUGCGGUAGGGGAGACUGGAAUUCCCGGUGUAACGGUGGAAUGUGUAGAUAUCGG